This 460-nucleotide ribosomal RNA is filed under the name uncultured bacterium. RNAcentral describes it as "partial 16S ribosomal RNA". It matches the Rfam family "Bacterial small subunit ribosomal RNA", at positions 338 to 795 of the family's 1533-position model. The record is from RNAcentral.
CCUACGGGUGGCAGCAGUGAGGAAUAUUGGUCAAUGGGCGGGAGCCUGAACCAGCCAAGUCGCGUGAGGGAUGACGGCCCUAUGGGUUGUAAACCUCUUUUGUCGGGGAGCAAAGCGAACCACGUGUGGUUCAUUGAGAGUUCCCGAAGAAAAAGCAUCGGCUAACUCCGUGCCAGCAGCCGCGGUAAUACGGAGGGUGCGAGCGUUAAUCGGAAUUACUGGGCGUAAAGCGCUCGUAGGCGGUAUGUCAAGUCAAGGGUGAAAUCCCCGCGCUCAACGUGGGAACUGCCUUUGAAACUGGCAAACUGGAGUGUGUGAGAGGAUAGUGGAAUUCCAGGUGUAGGAGUGAAAUCCGUAGAUAUCUGGAGGAACAUCAGUGGCGAAGGCGACUAUCUGGCACAUAACUGACGCUGAGGAGCGAAAGCGUGGGUAGCAAACAGGAUUAGAUACCCUAGUAGUC